CCUACGGGAGGCAGCAGUGAGGAAUAUUGGUCAAUGGGCGAGAGCCUGAACCAGCCAAGUCGCGUGAAGGAUGACGGCCCUACGGGUUGUAAACUUCUUUUGUCAGGGAGCAAUUGGGUCCACGCGUGGGCUUAGCGAGAGUACCUGAAGAAAAAGCAUCGGCUAACUCCGUGCCAGCAGCCGCGGUAAUACGGAGGAUGCGAGCGUUAUCCGGAUUUAUUGGGUUUAAAGGGUGCGUAGGCGGAAUAUCAAGUCAGCGGUAAAAAUUCGGGGCUCAACCCCGUCGUGCCGUUGAAACUGAUGUUCUUGAGUGGGCGAGAAGUAUGCGGAAUGAGUAGUGUAGCGGUGAAAUGCUUAGAUAUUACUCAGAACACCGAUUGCGCAGGCAGCUUGCUAAUCCGCAUCUGACGCUGAUGCACGAAAGCGUGGGUAGCGAACAGGAUUAGAUACCCGAGUAGUC
RNAcentral lists this ribosomal RNA (460 nucleotides) under uncultured bacterium. Its description in RNAcentral is "partial 16S ribosomal RNA". It matches the Rfam family "Bacterial small subunit ribosomal RNA", at positions 338 to 795 of the family's 1533-position model. The record is from RNAcentral.